GGGGCUGAUUCUGGAUUCGACGGGAUUUGCGAAGCCCUAGGAGCAUGCCGAGGGGCGGUUGGCCUCGUAAAAAGCCGCAAAAAAAUAGUCGCAAACGACGAAAACUACGCACUAGCAGCUUAAUACCCUGCUUAGAGCCCUCUCUCCCUAGCUUCCGCUCUUAAGACGGGGAUCAAGAGAGGUCAAACCCAAAAGAGAUCGCGUGGAUGUCCUGCCUGGGGCUGAAGCGUUAAAUCCAAUCAGGCUAGUUUGUUAGUGGCGUGUCCAUCCGCAGCUGACCGGCGAAUGUAAAGAUUGGACUAAGCAUGUAGUGCCGACGGUGUAGUAAUUUCGGACGGGGGUUCAAAUCCCCCCAGCUCCACCA
RNAcentral lists this transfer-messenger RNA (364 nucleotides) under Enterobacteriaceae (enterobacteria). RNAcentral describes it as "Chania oryzae Standard tmRNA". It matches the Rfam family "transfer-messenger RNA". From Rfam's summary of the family: Bacterial tmRNA, also known as 10Sa RNA or SsrA, is named for its dual tRNA and mRNA-like properties. Its role is to liberate the mRNA from a stalled ribosome. The record is from RNAcentral. RNAcentral also lists the same sequence under 2 other names. Lineage: Bacteria; Pseudomonadati; Pseudomonadota; Gammaproteobacteria; Enterobacterales.